GACGAACGCUGGCGGCGUGCUUAACACAUGCAAGUCGAACGGAAAGGCCCUGCUUUUGUGGGGUGCUCGAGUGGCGAACGGGUGAGUAACACGUGAGUAACCUGCCCUUGACUUUGGGAUAACUUCAGGAAACUGGGGCUAAUACCGGAUAGAAGCUCCUGCUGCUUGGUGGGGGUGGGAAAUUUUCGGCGGUUGGGGAUGGACUCGCGGCUUAUCAGCUUGUUGGUGGGGUAGUGGCUUACCAAGGCUUUGACGGGUAGCCGGCCUGAGAGGGUGACCGGCCACAUUGGGACUGAGAUACGGCCCAGACUCCUACGGGAGGCAGCAGUGGGGAAUAUUGCACAAUGGGCGGAAGCCUGAUGCAGCAACGCCGCGUGCGGGAUGACGGCCUUCGGGUUGUAAACCGCUUUCGCCUGUGACGAAGCGUGAGUGACGGUAAUGGGUAAAGAAGCACCGGCUAACUACGUG
Molecule: ribosomal RNA, 468 nt
Filed under: uncultured bacterium
Lineage: Bacteria
Description: partial 16S ribosomal RNA
Rfam family: Bacterial small subunit ribosomal RNA
Source: RNAcentral